CAAAGGAAGUUAGACGGGGGCCCGGCGACAAGCGGUGGAGCAUGUGGUUUAAUUUCGAAGCAACGCGAAGAACCUUACCAGGCCUUGACAUGCAGAGAACUUUACCAGAGGUGGAUUGGUGCCUUCGGGAACUCUGACACAGGUGCUGCAUGGCUGUCGUCAGCUCGUGUCGUGAGACGUUGGGUUAAGUCCGUAACGAGCGCAACCCUUGUCCUUAGUUACCAGCACGUUAUGGUGGGCACUCUAAGGAGACCGCCGGCGACAAACCGGAGGAAGGUGGGGAUGACGUCAAGUCAUCAUGGCCCUUACGGCCUGGGCUACACACGUGCUACAAUGGUCGGUACAAAGGGUUGCCAAGCCGCGAGGUGGAGCUAAUCCCAUAAAACCGAUCGUAGUCCGGAUCGCAGUCUGCAACUCGACUGCGUGAAGUCGGAAUCGCUAGUAAUCGUGAAUCAGAAUGUCACGGUGAAUACGUUCCCGGGCCUU
RNAcentral lists this ribosomal RNA (486 nucleotides) under uncultured Pseudomonas sp. RNAcentral describes it as "bacterial SSU rRNA". It matches the Rfam family "Bacterial small subunit ribosomal RNA", at positions 902 to 1382 of the family's 1533-position model. The record is from RNAcentral. Lineage: Bacteria; Pseudomonadati; Pseudomonadota; Gammaproteobacteria; Pseudomonadales; Pseudomonadaceae.